GGCGGGUGUACAUAUCUGAAGUAGUGAUAUCCAUUCCUUGUCCCCAAAAACUCCAUGGAAAGAGAACCAUCCCAACGAGGCCAAUGGUCUGAUGGACUAACAAGAUAGGUCUUCCUAGAAAGAUGGUUAACACGUCUUCCCCCACGCAGGUGUCUAGAACUACUGGCCUGAUUAUUUUUUUCAAAUGAUUUUACUACCUUAGAACCAAAUAUUC
Molecule: unclassified non-coding RNA, 214 nt
Filed under: Hevea brasiliensis (rubber tree)
Lineage: Eukaryota; Viridiplantae; Streptophyta; Magnoliopsida; Malpighiales; Euphorbiaceae
Source: RNAcentral